Molecule: unclassified non-coding RNA, 20 nt
Filed under: Mus musculus (house mouse)
Lineage: Eukaryota; Metazoa; Chordata; Mammalia; Rodentia; Muridae
Description: oocyte_clustered_small_RNA4239
Source: RNAcentral
UCAGAUCUACGCCCGAGGCA